RNAcentral lists this ribosomal RNA (187 nucleotides) under Vibrio alginolyticus. Its description in RNAcentral is "partial 23S ribosomal RNA". It matches the Rfam family "Bacterial large subunit ribosomal RNA", at positions 2762 to 2925 of the family's 2925-position model. The record is from RNAcentral. Lineage: Bacteria; Pseudomonadati; Pseudomonadota; Gammaproteobacteria; Vibrionales; Vibrionaceae.
CGAUAACCGCUGAAAGCAUCUAAGCGGGAAGCGAGCCUUGAGAUGAGUUCUCCCUGAUACUUUAAGUAUCCUAAAGGGUUGUCGUAGACUACGACGUUGAUAGGCAGGGUGUGUAAGCGUUGUGAGGCGUUGAGCUAACCUGUACUAAUUGCCCGUGAGGCUUAACCAUACAACACCCAAGGGGUUU